This 216-nucleotide ribosomal RNA is filed under the name Glomeromycotina sp. Its description in RNAcentral is "partial small subunit ribosomal RNA". The stretch from base 40 to 216 matches the Rfam family "Eukaryotic small subunit ribosomal RNA", at positions 686 to 864 of the family's 1831-position model. Lineage: Eukaryota; Fungi; Glomeromycota. The record is from RNAcentral.
GGGUCAGUAGGUUGGUCGUGCCACCGGUACGUACUGGUCUCACUGAUUCCUCCUUCCUGAAUAACCGUAAUGCCAUUAAUUUGGUGUUGCGGGGAAACAGGACUGUUACUUUGAAAAAAUUAGAGUGUUUAAAGCAAGCUAACGCUUGAAUCCAUUAGCAUGGAAUAAUGAAAUAGGACGAUCGAUCCUAUUUUGUUGGUUUCUAGGAUUGACGUA